UCCCGGUUAACCCGGGCAGUCUCGCUAGAGUUCCCAGCACUACCUGAUGGCAACUAACGAUAAGGGUUGCGCUCGUUGCGGGACUUAACCCAACACCUCACGGCACGAGCUGACGACAGCCAUGCAGCACCUGUGCAGAGGUCCUUGCGGAAGGGCCUGUUUCCAGACCUGUCCUCUGCAUGUCAAGCCUAGGUAAGGUUCUUCGCGUUGCAUCGAAUUAAACCACAUACUCCACUGCUUGUGCGGGUCCCCGUCAAUUCUUUUGAGUUUCACCCUUGCGAGCGUACUCCCCAGGCGGUGUACUUAACACGUUAGCUACGGCACAGUCAGGGUUGAGUCCGACUACACCAAGUACACAUCGUUUACGGCAAGGACUAC
This 378-nucleotide unclassified non-coding RNA is filed under the name uncultured Chlamydiales bacterium. RNAcentral's name for it is "contains 16S-23S intergenic spacer region". The record is from RNAcentral. Lineage: Bacteria; Pseudomonadati; Chlamydiota; Chlamydiia; Chlamydiales.